RNAcentral lists this long non-coding RNA (819 nucleotides) under Homo sapiens (human). Its description in RNAcentral is "HSALNT0330747". The record is from RNAcentral. Lineage: Eukaryota; Metazoa; Chordata; Mammalia; Primates; Hominidae.
UGAGGCACAGAAAGCCCAAGCUCUUGCACAAGGAUCAGAAGGGGGUAUAACCAGAAUUUGUUUCUCAGCAUCCUGACCAACAAUUAUUUUACCUACUAAACAGGGAAGCCUUUCAAAUAUAAUCCAGGGUAUCCGCUUCAUUUUACAACUAAAGAAAUGAAGGCUGGGUAAGGAUAAAGGACUCACAAAGAUCGUGUGUUUAGUUUCUGCUGGUCUAGACAUCUGGGUUCCAAAAGAAGAAUGCAUCUCCCAGGAGACAUGACAAUGAUUCCAUUCAACAGGAAGUUGAGACUGCCACCUGAACACUUUGGGCUCCUCAUGCCUCUGAAUCAACGGGCAAAGAAGAGAGUUAUAGAUCCUAACCACCCAGGAGAAAUUCGGUGGCCACUACACAAACAGAAUGUAUUAAUAGUAAUUAAAUUUAUAUCAUAGUCUUGAAAUUACAAGAUAUCCAACUUGAAGCAUGCAUUGGGAGAAGAAUAAAUAUCAUCCAAAGACAAAAAAACAACAACACGACGUUGUGUUCUACUAAAAGGAAAAAAGCCUAUUUUCAGAUGUACUUAGAAGAGAUACACCAUGUUAGCUUUUCUGACUCUGCGGCCAGGUGUUUGUAUUUAACUCCACGGUGAGGAGACUCAUCUUCUGACGGACCUAACCUAUACCAUCAAGCUCCAGCACCACAAGCAAAGACAAAAACCUUGCGGAAACUAUUUAACUAACUCCCACAAUUGCAUAAGGAUCUAAAUGAAAAUAUUUCUGCAGUGAACCAGUUCUAUUGUUUUAAAUAUCACCCUUAUUAAAGAGAGCUUUGACACUUUU